UACGUAGGCAGCAAGCGUUGUUCGGAAUUACUGGGCGUAAAGAGUGUGUAGGCGGUGUUCUAAGUUUGUCGUGAAAUCUCCCGGCUUAACUGGGAGGGUGCGGCGAAAACUGGAAUGCUAGAGGAUGGGAGAGGUAAGCGGAAUUCCUGGUGUAGCGGUGAAAUGCGUAGAUAUCGGGAGGAACACCUGUGGCGAAGGCGGCUUUCUGGUCUGUAACUGACGCUGAGGCGCGAAAGCGUGGGGAGCAAACAGG
This 253-nucleotide ribosomal RNA is filed under the name uncultured bacterium. Its description in RNAcentral is "partial 16S ribosomal RNA". It matches the Rfam family "Bacterial small subunit ribosomal RNA", at positions 524 to 776 of the family's 1533-position model. The record is from RNAcentral.